This is a long non-coding RNA of Syzygium oleosum, 865 nucleotides long. RefSeq lists it as uncharacterized. NCBI's taxonomy places the organism in Eukaryota, Viridiplantae, Streptophyta, Magnoliopsida, Myrtales, Myrtaceae. The transcript is spliced from 3 exons. The record is from RefSeq and is a predicted model, not a curated record.
CAAGCCCACUGGAAACAAACAAGAACCAUUUGAUCUUCUUGCUCUCAAGGGCCAAGCCCACCCGAAACCUAUCAUCUUCUUCCAUAGCUCCGCUUUCUCUUUCUAGCGGAUCUCGUCUCCUCCCCAGUCUGGCUUGCGCCACCUCCCUCGAUCCACCGUCAUCGUCAUCCCCUCCCAGGCAUCGAGCUCGAACCAGGUCAGUCCCCGCAAACCCUAACUCCCUCCCGAUUUCGUGAAUGAAAGCGGGUCCAUCGUGCGUCGCCAACCGCUACGUCAAGUAGCGGAUUCUGAAUUGUGGGUCUUUCGAAGUUUCGCUUUUCCGAUAGCAAAUUGUGGGUUUAUCGCUGAUGGGUGCGGGUUUGCUGUUCGAUGUGAAGCGAAUUCCGUGGUGGGUUUCGCGAUAGCUGCGGCGAGAGCUCCCUCUCCGCCGUCAAGUGGAGCAAACAUGGAGCCAACCCACAAUAAAAGGCACACCACCUGCUCCAAGGGACGGCCAUAGUUUUACUAAUGUUGGUGACAAUUUGUUUGUGUUUGGUGGGACGGAUGGACGAACCCUCUCGCGGAUUUGCAUAUACUAGACACUCCAGAAGUUGGGCUCUUUUUAAUGUAGCUCACGAAUAUGUUACAUAGCUUCUCAUACAUGGAUAUCACCAAUUACAUGGGGAGAGGCACCGGAGGCAAGGCAGGGUCAUAGUGCAGCACCUGUGUGUAGAAGGCUGCUCAUAUUUGGUGGGUAUGGAAAAUCUCCUGAUGAUGAGGAUGAAGUAUAUUAUAAUGAUCUCUUCAUAUUGAACACAAGUACAUUCUUUUUAAAAGUCGACAUUUCUUCUUUGCUUCUAGUCCAAAUUGACAUCUAUUUGUGAAA